Molecule: long non-coding RNA, 12793 nt
Filed under: Solanum tuberosum (potato)
Lineage: Eukaryota; Viridiplantae; Streptophyta; Magnoliopsida; Solanales; Solanaceae
Description: long non-coding RNA (STUB_LNC004054)
Source: RNAcentral
UUUUUUUUUUUUGUCUAAUAUUCAAAAAAUAAAUAUGAUGUUUGCCUAUAUUCUAUAGUUUUAUGUGUAUCAAAUUCUUUCUGUUUAUUUAUAUUCAUUCAUUUUUCUUAUUAUUCUCAAUUUUGAAUGGGCCAGAUCGCGGGAUUUCUACCUUUUUUGGUGUACUCCUUGUAUACAGCUGACUCUUCUCCCUAACAUUAAUAAGAAUUACUUUAUCAAUUAUUGAAUUAGCAAUGUUCUAAAAUGAUUACAUUGUGUUGCUCUUCAGUAGACUAAGUUGUCAAUCUUGUUGGUCUCUCUUGAACAGUUCUUUGUUAAAUGCAUUGCCCAUCCGAUGAAAAGUAAGUAUAUGGCCACUGAAAUUUGAAAUAUAAUCCCUUCUCACCCAUGCAUUGACAGCCUUUUCCAGUUAGCAUUUAUAACACACCCAACAUGUCAUUUAUUUUCCUUUGUUAGUUUCUUAUUCUUUUAAUAUAUUUGUCUGUCCUUGUAUAUGAUUUCAGGUGUAUACAAAAAAGCUAGUUAGAAGUGACAAGUUCAAAACUGGCGUAGACCAGUUUGUUGACAAGGAGUGUGAAGUGGAAGACAAAAGGGAUGUCUUGAUUGGGAGAAUCCCUGUGAUGGUUAACUCAGAAUUGUGCUGGAUGAAUGGUGUUGACAAGCUUGACUGUGAAUUUGAUCAUGGGGGAUACUUCAUUGUCAAAGGGGCUGAAAAGGUAAGAUCUUCCUGCUAGCACCUCACUCUCGACGCCUCCCUCUGUUCUACCUAAAGAUGGCGUAGAAAACAAGGCUGGACAGUUGGUGUUAGUUAGUAUAGUAUUUAAGCCCUAUUGAGUCUAGAGGGAAGAUUAGAGAACCAUUUUAGUACUCAUAAAAAGAAGAAGAUAACCAUUUUACUACACAUCAAUCUAGCAUAACUCAAAACGGUGGAAUAUCACUUGUUAAUGUUAGAAUUUAUGUUUCAAAUAAAAUAUCUGUGUUAGUUGGACUGUGACACCUUAUUCCUACAAGACAAUAUAUUUGAGUGUUGGAAUGAACUGAGUCCAAUGGGGUGGAAUGCAUAUAGAUGAUUUGUUUAGUCAAACCCAAAAUUGAUUCGUAGUGUUGUACGAGUAAUUGUUGUUGCCUGAAUAGGUGUGUAUUUUGACAGAUAUUCUAACUUUGAUAAUUCAGAUAAUUGCGACAGUUGUGUCCAUAUAAUGGAAGAUGUGACAGAAGAGGAUGAAAGAGAGGAGAAAAUUUAACUUCAUAUUAGACAUUUAACUAAGCGAUUGAUUAAAAUGAUGCAUAGUGUGUGGUAGAUCUGAAGGUGCUAGCUACUUUUUGAGUUGGUUUAUUUGUCUUAAUUGAUGAUACUGUUGAAUAUUGAUCUGAUGAAGGUGAAGUUUAUGUAUUGCGUUGCAUAAUGUUCAGCAGUUUAGAGUUCUGACUGAUGAAACAGUUUUGUAGCAUGCAUGAACCUUUAGGAGGAAAGACUAUGUACCUCCAUCAUAAUUUGAUGUAGUUGGGUAUCACACACUUUUAGUCAGAUAAGAACUCUUAUUUUGUAAGACAAGUUGCAAAAAUAUGCUAAGUUAUUUUUCUUCUGUAAAAAUGUCAACGGCAGUCUUGGAAUAAUAUAAGAACUCUAUGUUUUGUAUAAUGUGUUAAAAUUUGUGUAAUCAUGCUGCAUGUUUAAUACAAGUUGCACAAGUUCUUUUGUAGUAUUGUUACCAUUGAAGAGUCUUAGCUACUCUUUUAUGCAGAAGUUCUUUCUCAAGCUUCAAGCUGAGUAAUGCAAUAAUUUCCCUUGACUGACUACAUAGUACUCCUUUGUCUCAAAAGAAUGACAAAGUACACUUUUGCGGAGUCAAACAGUUGUUUCUUGACUACAAAAAUUGUGGUUUGAGUACACAUUAUCUUGUUUUUAAUAUGUAGGAGCGAUUAGUUCAGUUAAAGAAAAAAGAAUGGUUACUUCUUUUCGAAAAUUAAAUGUGUCUGACUCUUGUACUCCGAAUCCACCAUUCUUUUCGGAAUGUAUGUAACUUUAGCAUGCAUUCUGCACUUGUGCUAUUUACUAUAGUGAUAUAGAAUAUUGUUUAAUCCUUUUGGCCUUUUAGAAGUAUAUUUCCUAUUGCAUUUCUUUAUUGAUUGACAUCUCUUGCAAUUUCCAUUUCAGACCUUCAUUGCACAAGAGCAGCUUUGUUUAAAAAGACUCUGGGUGUCAAACAAUCCCACUUGGAUGGUUGGAUAUCGCCCAGGUGAAAAAAGGAAGAGAGUCUACAUUAAACUGACUGAGACCUUGAAGCUUGAGCACAUUAAGGGAGGAGAAAAAGCCCUCAGUGUUUACAUACUUGCAGAAAUGCCAAUUUGGGUCUUGUUUUUUGCUCUAGGUGUUUCCUCUGACAGGGAGGUAGUAAAUUUAAUUGAUGUGGAUAUUGAAGAUACUACUAUCGUCAAUAUACUAGUAGCUUCCAUCCAUGAGGCUGAUAAGAAUUGUGAGGAUUUCAGGAAGGGGAAAAAGGCUCUUGCUUAUGUUGAUAGACUUAUAAAGAAUUGUAAAUUUCCACCUCAAGAAUCUGUUGAGGAGUGCAUAAAUGCAUACCUGUUCCCUAAUCUUAGUGGUUUCAAGCAGAAGGCUCGCUUCCUUGGCUAUAUGGUAAAAUGCCUCUUGCACUCUUUCAUUGGUCGCAGAAAGGUUGACAACAGAGAUGAUUUUCGAAACAAGAGAUUGGAGCUGGCUGGUGAGCUCCUAGAACGAGAGCUCAGGGCACACAUUAAACAUGCCGAGAGGCGUAUGGUGAAGGCAAUGCAAAGAGAUCUUUAUGGAGAUCGACAAGUGCAGCCAAUUGAGCAUUACUUGGAUGCAUCAAUAAUUACCAAUGGUCUCUCCAGGGCUUUUUCCACUGGGCAUUGGUGUCACCCUUACAAGAGAAUGGAGAGGGUUUCCGGUGUAGUUGCAACUCUCAGACGAACAAAUCCAUUGCAAAUGACUGCUGAUAUGAGGAAAUCACGUCAGCAGGUUACAUACACCGGGAAGGUUGGCGAUGCUAGAUACCCGUAAGUGUUUAUAAAUUUAUAUUGACCAUUGUUUUUGUGCUUUCCAUUAGCAAAAAUGGUGACUUCAUUUGUCUUGCUUCCUGAUUGUUGCUCAUUCUGUCGUAAGUUUUUGGUAUUUUGUUUCUGUUUUGUUUAACUUAAGUAUGAUAAUUUAAUGACUGGUAUAUAACUUAUGUAGACAUCCUUCACACUGGGGAAAACUAUGUUUUCUAUCUACCCCAGAUGGAGAAAAUUGUGGCCUGGUGAAAAAUUUGGCUAGUAUGGGUCUUGUCAGCACAAUUAUUUUGAAACCAUUUCUUGAGACAUUGUUCCGGUGUGGGAUGCAAAAGUUAGUAGACGAUUGUGCCACCUCACUCCAUGGAAAGCAAAAGGUCCUACUUGAUGGGGAGUGGGUUGGAGUAUGUGAAGAUUCUGCACUCUUCGUUUCAAAGCUAAGACGUAAGCGCCGCAGGAAUGAAGUGCCACACCAGGUUGGCUCAUGAUCAUUUUCAUUUAAUUAUGUACAGUUGAAUCAUGGAACCUUGCUGUUGAAUAUUAAUUUAUAUUGCAACGUUGAUCAUUCAGUGGCGUACACAGGAUUUUUCGUAAGCAGUGUCACCUUUUAAAAUGAAAAAAUAAAUAAACAAUAUAACAUCAUAUUAAAUAUAUAUAUAUAUAUAUAUAUAUUACUAUACCUUUUUAUAAAAAUUAAAUAAUAACUUUUGAUGAUUUCCUUUUAUUAAUAAAAUGUAUUCAAAAUAAUACCAUGUGAGAAAGAAGGCAAAUGAAAAGAACAUAAAAAAUGAGGCCAGACAGGUUUGAACCUACCUCACUUACGAGCUCCAAGCCAAAAACCAGUUGGGCUACGCACAACUUUGAUUGAAGGAGUGCCACAUUUAUAAUAUAUAACUAUAUCUCUGUUUUUUCCCUUCUCAGACUGUACAUAUUUCGUAAAAUUUUCCGACGAAGCAGUGUCACGUGACACCCCAUAGCCCUUGCUAAAUCUGCCCCUGUGAUCAUUGAUCCACCAAAAGGAUGGUUAUAAAACUGUCAUCCAAACAUAGUAACUUGUGUUUUUCUCUUUUUCUCAAGUAGGAUGUAAAUCUUUUGUUAUAAUGUAUUGUAUGUACAAUAUCAUGUAAGCGCCACUGGAAUAAGGUCCCACAUUAGCUUAACUCGCGAUCAUUUUGAUUUAGUUAUGUACAUAGUUUAAGACUUAAAAUAUUUGUUUUUUUGUGUGUGCACGCACGCAUUUUGGGGGAUAAAGUAGAAUACUUGUUUAUAUCAUAAGUAUGAUUAUCAAUUUUAUCAAAAGGACAAUUAUCAAACUGUAAGCCGAAUGUCUUGUCUCAUGCUCUUUGCUCCUCAAGUUUCACACCAGGUAACUUAAAAUGUGAAAUAAAGAAUAGAACUGAUAGGAAUAAAUCGUCAGACCAGGUAAGUAGUGAUAAUGUUCAUUUAAUUAUGUAGAGAAGUCAUAAAACUUACUGUAAAGGCUGCUUAUAUUGCAAAUACAUUCAUUAAAUAAAACUAUUUACCAAAUGUGAAGGACUAAUCUUUUUCUCUUUGUUUCUGAAAUGAAUGUGAUUUUUGUGGUAUAUGUAUCGACUGUAGUAUAACUUCUGUAUGCUGGCAAGUCCGAACCCUGAAGCUGCCAACAGUAGGUUGUGCCUCUUUCCUCCAAUGGUGUCCUGAAGUGGAGGGUCUACCAUUACAGAGCAACCCUCUCGUCAUUGACAUAUUGCUUAAAUGGAAAUAUAUCUGAUGUUUCAGAAUAGAUGGAAUCCUUGAACUCUGUCAUUACUCUUCUGGGAUUCUUUUUCCUUUUUGGGAAAUAUUUCAUUUUUUUUAAUGGUUGGUGUCCGAGCUAGCUUGUGUGCACCGCGGCUAAUCCACCGGGUACUUACUACCUCCUACCAGCACACACACCAUUAACUCUUCCCACCAAGCCUCAGGUAGAUGGGGGAGAAAAUCACAUUUUGGAAAAUAUUUCUUUGCAAUGCGCAGAAAUUCAGACUAACCAAAUAAAAAUUAUACUAACAUUUUAAAAUUUUGAAGGAUUCAGACAAUAAAAUAAAAUCCAAGAGUUCUAUAUGAAAUGACCUUUAUCACAGAUUUGGCAGAACAAUAAAAUUAAAUCUAAAAGUUCUCUAUUAAAUAAUCUUUAUCACAAAUUUGGUAACUGAUUUGAUGUUACCAUGCGAGUUAAAUUCAUGGAAGUUGAUGUAGCUUCUUGACUAGGGAAAUUUGACCCAGUACCUUUUUCAUCAGCACUGGAUGUGCUGCGGAAGUCUCUCUUUUUUACCUGGAUAUUAAAAUCCAGUCUCGUAUAUUGUUUUUUUAGAAGACGUUGUAUAUUGCCAUAUAAGAUCUGUAAAUUUGAUACUCGCACACUGAACAAUCUUAAAUUUUUUCUUCUAGGUUGAAGUUAAGAGAGAUGAGCUGCAGGGUGAAGUUCGCAUAUUUUCUGAUUCUGGAAGGAUUCUGCGUCCUCUUCUUGUUGUUUCAAAUCUAAAGAAAAUCAAAGCUUUGAAAGGGGGAGACUAUGGCUUUCAAUCUCUUCUGGACAAUGGGAUUAUUGAGUUUAUAGGACCUGAAGAAGAAGAAGACUGUCGAACUGCAUGGGGAGUUGAGUACAUCUUAAAAGCAGAUAAAGAGAACCCACCUGCUAAGUAUACUCAUUGUGAGUUGGACAUGUCAUUCCUAUUAGGCUUGAGCUGUGGUAUUAUCCCAUUUGCAAACCAUGAUCAUGCUAGGAGGGUCCUCUAUCAAUCUGAGAAGCACUCUCAGCAGGCAAUUGGGUUUUCAACAGUGAAUCCAAACAAUAGAGUUGAUACAAAUACCCAUCAAUUGUAUUAUCCUCAGAGGCCACUUUUCCGGACAAUGUUGGCAGAUUCCCUUGGGAAACCAAAAUGUACUCAGUACCAGAAAGGAAUGCUUCCACGGCCUGAAUACUUCAAUGGGCAAUGUGCAAUUGUCGCAGUAAAUGUUCACCUUGGCUAUAACCAAGAAGAUUCAUUGGUCAUGAAUCGUGCUUCACUGGAGCGCGGAAUGUUUCGAUCUGAGCAUGUUAGGAGCUAUAAGGCUGAGGUCGACAAUAAGGAAGCAAUGGCUAAGAAGCUAAAGAUUGAGGACUCUGUCAACUUUGGGAAAACCCAGAGUAAAAUUGGACGAGUGGACAGCCUAGAUGAUGAUGGUUUUCCAUUCAUUGGGGCAAAUCUCCAGAGUGGAGAUAUCAUAAUUGGGAAAUUUGCUGAAUCAGGGGCUGAUCACAGUGUCAAGCUGAAGCAUACGGAAAGGGGCAUGGUUCAGAAGGUUUUGCUCUCUGCUAAUGAUGAAGGGAAGAAUUUUGCUGUUGUAUCUCUCAGACAAGUAAGAUAUACAUGUGUGUGUAUAUAUAUAUGAAAUGUUUCUACUUAUAUGACUGUAUUUCUAUGCAACUUUUGCUGUUGCAUCUCUCAAACAAGUUAAAGUGCUUUAAGAUGCAGGUUUAUGGGAAACAUUUCUUUAUUAAAAAGACCAUAUUAAGUCUUUGGAGAACUGUUUGCAGGCAGUUUGGCAAGCUUCUUAAAGUAUUUGCACUUCAUGGGAUACAACGUCUCCUAUUCAUAGAUCUGAGCCCGCCAUUAUACAGUUGGAUGCAAAAUUAUCUAUUUUUGAAAUAGGAAUUAUAGUAGAUCUUUUAGCCCCUUACCACCCUUGAGGAAAAUUUGCACUAUUCAGGGGCACUGGAGUGGGUAAAACAGUACUCAUUAUGGAAUUGAUAGACAAUAUUCUAAAGAACUUCAUAAGUUGUGAAAAAUUGAAGAUACAGAUCAAGAAAUUGAAUUUCAAUUGUUAUGAUAAAAGGAGAACAGAUGCUAUGUACUGUGUACAUAAAGACCAUAUAUAGCUUCACGUGCCUUGAAUGGUUGAACCAUCCUAUUAAUGAACACAUUGAAAGACCAGCCACUGAACUGAAGAAAAGCUGAUUUGUCUAAAAGCAGCACUACUAGACUAUCCAAAAGCUUCAAAACUACAAGCCAUACUACUAGACUAUGUUAAGGAUUCAAAACUACUAGCCAUCGUAGAAUGUUAGCAAGAAAGCCUACUCACAUAUUUGUGUUUUACUUAUGGUGUAAAUUGGAACAUGUAAAUGAGGUUGAAUCAGUGCUACAGAUGUCAGAAUCCCUACAGGACUAGAUAGGGAAUACUUUUGCUGUUUUGCUUUGAAGAGUACAGUUCCUAUAGCACAUCCUUAAUGUUACUCUUAUGUAUAAAAUUACUUUACUUUCUUUAAAAAAAUGUUAGCAAAGAUAGCUGUUAGCAGUAAGCAUUAUGCUUCUGUGUUAUGAUUCAAAUAUACAUGUGUGAAAAAGUUGGUCACCUCAUAUUCAUCUUUAUGUUUCUUCCACUAUCCUUCCUCGAGAGUACCUGGAAGACACUGUAUAGAUAAUUCUAAUUCCCUUUAAAUGAUUCCAGUAAUCUUGUACAUUGUGUGCAGGUUCGUUCUCCAUGUCUUGGAGACAAGUUCUCCAGCAUGCAUGGACAAAAGGGUGUCCUUGGAUUUCUGGAAUCUCAGGAAAACUUCCCUUUUACCAUUCAGGGGAUUGUUCCAGAUAUUGUAAUCAAUCCCCAUGCAUUUCCUUCAAGGCAAACCCCUGGUCAGCUGCUAGAAGCCGCUCUGGGGAAGGGCAUUGCCCUAGGUGGUGGUCAAAAAUAUGCCACUCCCUUCUCCACUUUAUCAGUUGAUGCCAUAAUGGAGCAGCUUCAGGGGUAAGAUAUCUGAAAGCUGUAUCGUUUUUCAUAAUUCCACGCCCUUGUGCCAACUAGUUAAGCUGUGUUUGUUUUGUUGUAGUCAAUUGUGAAUUCUGGUGAUUUGUCAUUGACUAUUAAAUGCUAUAUGACCUGCAGGCGAGGAUUCACGAGAUGGGGAAAUGAGAGAGUUUACAACGGUCGGACGGGUGAAAUGGUUCAUUCCCUGAUUUUCAUGGGCCCAACAUUCUACCAACGCCUCAUCCAUAUGGCUGAAGACAAGGUGAAAUUCCGUAACACUGGACCUGUCCAUCCCCUUACUCGCCAACCUGUGGCAGACAGAAAACGCUUUGGUGGAAUUAAGUUUGGUGAAAUGGAGCGCGACUGUCUUAUAGCUCAUGGUGCUGCAGCAAAUCUGCAUGAACGCCUUUUCACACUCAGUGACUCUUCCCAGAUGCACAUAUGUGGUAAGUGCAAGAACAUGGCAAAUGUAAUCCAGAGAACUGUGCAAGGUGGUAAGGUAAGGGGUCCGUUUUGCCGGUUCUGUGAAUCAGUCGAAGAUAUAGUGAAAGUUAAUGUGCCAUAUGGUGCAAAGUUGUUGUGCCAGGAGCUCUUCAGCAUGGGCAUAUCUCUCAAGUUUGACACUGAAAUUUGCUAAUUCCUGAUUAAGUUUCAUCUUCGAGAUUAUACUGAUGAUGCUGACAUGUUGGUGAUGGGAAAAAACUAAUCUCUUGUAUCUGUACCUUAUUAGUUAUCAGGUUGUGUCUAACACUAUUUUCUGUAGAUAUCUCUAGUGUUUAUGGGAAAAUAACUCGACUCUUGUAUUUAAACCUUGUUGGUUAUCAGGUUUGAAAAGGUGUGUUUCGUUUAGACAUUCUCUCUCUCGUGCAUGUGCAUGCGACACACACAUACAUGCUGAAUUGUUGUUGUAGAUUUAAGUUUGCUCUUUUGAUGAGAAAAUAUUGGCAUUUGAUCUUUCCUUGUUAACAAGCAGUAGAUGACCCUUGCUCUGUUAGGGGAUUGAUUUCAGUGCAAAAGGGUAAACAGCAAGUGAUAGAAAUAAGAAGUAACAAGUAUGCUAUGGUGAUCACUAAUGUCAUACUUGUCCUAAGAAAAAAGAGGUUUACCUUUGACAUAUCACUUGCCUUGUUUGGUUUAAGAUUAAAAAUGUUUCUUGACUCUAACAAAUAGAUUUGAUUGAAUAUGUACCUCUAUUGAAGUAAUAAUUAGUUAUUACCUCUAAAAGUGAUAGAAGAAAGAAGUGUAUGAAGUAGUACAGAAUAGCCAAAUGCUGAUAGAGAUUGAGGUACUGAUGAUUAGCUGAAACACUUGCUGAAUUUCAGGUAAAAUAAUCCAAACCAACAAGAGAUCCACCCAUUUAUCAACUUAGUUCAGCCAAGUAAUCUUUGGACUGAUUGAUGACUCAGCUCAGUUAACUCAGCCGCUCAUUGUACUAGAGCGGGGUGAGUGAAAUGGAGGCUCGCAUUAGGGCUACUAUGUGAUAAGAAUGUGUAGGGUUAAAAGUAAGUUCUAUAAAGCGGUGGUUAGACCUAUGUAUAGGGCAGUCUCCUUGCCCGUCAAGAAUGCACACCUUAAGAGCAUGAAGGUAGCGGAGAUGAAAAUGCUCGGUUGUGCAAGCAAGACAUGACCAUAGAUAGGAAGGUUUGGAGGUCGAGGAUUAGAGUAGAAGGAUAGUAGGUAGGCCCGUCUGUUGUAGUACUCUUACGAGCUAGUCUCCUAUUCUCUUUAUUUGGUAUUCACAUAGUAUCUUGUUCUUCAUUUUUACUAGUACCCGUCACUUCAAUUGCAUCUUUUAUCUUGCUAUUUUGUUGUCGUUAUUUUCCUUUUAUCAUUCUUUGACUGCACCUUUUUUGAGCGUCUGGUCUAUUGAAAACAACUUCUCUAUCCCACAAAGUUGUGGUAGAAAUAAAGUUUGCGUACAUUUUACUCUCCCCAGAACCCCCUGCGAGAUUGCAUCAGCAUGUAGUUGUUUAUUUUGCUGGUCUAAAUUCAGUCCACCAGUUUGACAUCCCUAAUUUCUUUUGUAGCAUAUCCUUCAUCUUCUCCAUUUUGGAAAUGUAUAUACUAUUUAACAUUCAAAUGGAGAGAUUCAACCUUAAGAUGGAAAAGACUAAUGAAUAGGCUUCCUUGAGUUAAACAUGUAUAGAAGAGAACUAAUUUACAAAGAGAUAAUUAAGAUGUGUUCUCAAGAUAAUUAAGGGAAGAUACAUAAUAAUGAAAUAACAUAAGCUGUAUGCCUAGAUCUAAUAGCAAAAAAAAAGAAUUUCUUCUACAAUAGCAGACUAUAUAUGUUCAAUUAUGCAGGACAAAAUGUAGUGGCAUUUGGUUUUGCUAGUAUGUUAAAAUCCCAGAAUUUCCCUUUAGAAGAAACCAAAUUAGUGUCACAUAAGAAUUCCCAAGAAAACCACUUCUCAAUCAUUCUAUCAACAUCAUGUACCAAUACAUGAGUCCCAUUCUUGUUCUUGCUUCUUCUUGCUAGUACACCAGCAAUAUAUAUUGCAGCCAUUCUUCCUGGUGAUUCCGGUUUAUCGCCAUCUGGUCCAUCAACAAUCACUAAAUCCCACUUCACUUCAUACACUUCCUUAGGAACAUUAGUGACAAGUGACAUAAAUUUGCACUUUCUUGAUGAAUUACUAUACAGAUCAUGUUUUGAACUACUAGCAGUAGCUGAUAUGUAGCAGUCUUUCUGGUUUCUUCUAGCAUGUUUUAAAAUCUUGUAUGCAUCUCUAGCAACUGUUUGAUACUCGACUCUGUGAAUUCGAGUACUAUUAGCAUUACUCGUGGAGUUAUAAAGUUUGAUCUUCGCGGGGUUGUCCUCAAGAAAGACAGUGAAUCCACCCCUAUUGAUUGUUGAAAUUUGAGAAGAGUAUUGUGUUUCAAGCCCGAAAACAAGAAUAUUGCAGGGGGAUUUUCGCGAUACAAGAUCAUAGAGAAAGUUGAUUUCUUUCUCCGCGAGGAUAUUGUGGCUGUGUUCAACUAGAGACAAGGCAGAGAAAACCGGAGAGGAGUAUGAAGUAAUAACAGAAAUCUUGACAAGUCUGAGUAUGGAAGCAAAUGAUAAAAUGAAAACAAGAAGUGGAAUGAUAUUUCUUUUUGUAAAUUUCAUAGCUGUGUAGUAUUUGUGUAAAAGUGUCCUUUUAAGACGAGUUUUUGGUGAGAAAAGAAGAAGAGGAAAUGCAAUCUCAGAAGAGGGCAUUGUGUUCUUUUCUUUAUGUCACUAUUUUCUACCUAAAGGAAGACUUAUAAUAAUUUGUUGUGACAUGUGUUAAAUUUCCUCUCUGAAUUUUUUUGAGUGAAGAAGAAGUAAUGGUAUUUUCCUUUAGUUUGAAGCAUUUGCAUUUUUUCUUUUAUUUUUUUUAAUUUAGUUGUCACAAUUUUCAACAGUAUUUCUUAAGUUGAAUAUUUUUUGGUAACUGUUGUAAGUGAUGUAGGUGUGAUCAAUCAUUGUGAAUGAUGGGUACUCUUUUUUUUUUUAAAGAAGUUGGACACCAAAUCUCGUCUGCUUUUGCAUUUAUUUGUUGGGGGUCAUUAAUAUAUAUACCCCUCAUAACAAAUAACUUUUUCGCGGAUAUAAAUUUACAUUUUCAUAUAGUAAUAUCCCAUCGCAUGACUUCAAUUUUUAAAGACUUGUGCCUAACUAGACAUAAGUUCGAUUGUUAAGGACAAAAAUUAAAGAUCAACGCAUUUGAAGGGCAAUUUUAUAAUAAGAAAAAACUUCCUUCUAGGUACUGUUUUUGUUAUCGUUUGGUGAACAUGAGUGAUAUUGAAGAAAAACGUAUCUACUAUUUUUAUAUAAACAAGCAUCUCACAUUGCAUGUUGUCUCCAAAUUUAUUUUAAACAGAGUACAGUACCAAACACCAGUUCACUUAAGUAUAUCCAGCUGUCAACAAUUUCAACCAAACGCUAGAAAAUGAUUCUAGCAAAUAAAAUAUUUUUUUUUGCUACACCCUAGGUUCAUAUUCUUAACAUACUUUUAUUACUAAUAUAAUUAGAGAAACAUAACUUCAAAGCUGAGAUGACAACGGAGAAUCACAAAGUACCACAAGUCAGUAUAAUUAUAGAACAUCCACAAAGCCCCGUCGAAUGUGAAGAAAAAAAGAUUUCGUUGAAUAUGUUAUGAAGUUAAGUGAGAAGUCCCUUUCUUUCCCAUUACUGGACCCGGAAAUCGCAUAAAUUGCUUAAUUCAGGAUUUCAUGCCAACUUCGUCUUUUUGCUCAACGACAUUGGAGACCGUUUUCAGGCAUAGAUACAUGAUAUGUAUUGAUGCUUGGUGAAUGAAUAGAACAAUGUGUUUGGCUUUAGAAUUAUGACACACGGAGUGUACUAAUAUUCCAAUAACCAAACACCAAAUGUUCAUGCAGUAGUACCAAAAUUACUUCUUGGUACUAUGAGAACACCAAAAUUUCAAUCUGAAGACGAAUAAUACCAUUUUGAAGUAAAACGAAUGGAAGAGAAAGUGCCUAAAGAUGUCAUGAAAUAAAUAGAGGGGCGCAGGAUUUCAUUGUAUGUUUGCUGCAACUCGGCAAGUACAAGCUCAUCAACAACUAGAUAUCCAAAGAAGCAAGUCAGUAUCUAUAACGACAAGACUUGCAUAUUAUUUGCUUCCAACUUGACAUAUAAUGAAUCGCAACAGUAGCAGCUGCAUUAAAAUAAGAACAUCGACAUCUUUCUGCUCGUUGUGAGAAAGAGGGUAAGAAAAUGAAGGUGGAGAUACUACCUAUUCCUAGAGGACUACUCCAUCCUCAUUACAUCUCAAAACUCAUGUAUAACUAAAGAGACCUAUACUCAUUGUACAAACUUCCAGGGUGUCAUGGCAAACCACAAAGGCGGCGACUGACCUGGGCCUGAGGAGAUCACACUUAAGAACUUCUUCCUUAAGACAUCAAUGUACAAUAUGAACAACUUUUACAUGAAAUAACUCAAGGACUUCUUCCUUCUAGAUCCCCCCUCUCCAUACAGUUCAUUCCACUGAAGAAGCUCUGUCAUAUUUAUGGAUUCCGAUGAAACACUUGCACAAAC